RNAcentral lists this ribosomal RNA (253 nucleotides) under uncultured bacterium. RNAcentral's name for it is "partial 16S ribosomal RNA". It matches the Rfam family "Bacterial small subunit ribosomal RNA", at positions 524 to 776 of the family's 1533-position model. The record is from RNAcentral.
UACGUAGGGUGCGAGCGUUAAUCGGAAUUACUGGGCUUAAAGGGUCCGCAGGCGGACCAGCAAGUACCUUGUGAAAUCUCAGGUCUCAACCCUGAGUCUGCUAGGUAGACUGCUGGUCUUGAGUGCAAAAGGGGUCGCUGGAACUCUAGGUGGAGCGGUGAAAUGCGUAGAUAUCGGAAGGAACAUCAGUGGCGAAAGCGGCUUCCUGGACCAGCACCGACGUUCAGGCACGAAAGCGUGGGGAGCAAACAGG